CGUAGGGUGCAAGCGUUAAUCGGAAUUACUGGGCGUAAAGCGUGCGCAGGCGGUUAUGUAAGACAGGUGUGAAAUCCCCGGGCUUAACCUGGGAACUGCAUUUGUGACUGCAUAGCUAGAGUACGGUAGAGGGGGAUGGAAUUCCGCGUGUAGCAGUGAAAUGCGUAGAUAUGCGGAGGAACACCGAUGGCGAAGGCAAUCCCCUGGACCUGUACUGACGCUCAUGCACGAAAGCGUGGGGAGCAAACAGGAUUAGAUACCCUGGUAGUCCACGCCCUAAACGAUGUCAACUGGUUGUUGGGUCUUCACUGACUCAGUAACGAAGCUAACGCGUGAAGUUGACCGCCUGGGGAGUACGGCCGCAAGGUUGA
This 371-nucleotide ribosomal RNA is filed under the name uncultured organism. RNAcentral's name for it is "bacterial SSU rRNA". It matches the Rfam family "Bacterial small subunit ribosomal RNA", at positions 526 to 897 of the family's 1533-position model. The record is from RNAcentral.